GAGAGCCGUGUGAUGGCUGACUAUCUAGCACGGUUCAGAGAGCACGUGUAUGUAGUCUGCGCUGGUGAAUGGAAGCCCCCGCCGCAAAAAAGAAGCGGCUCUUCCCACGGCUCUGUCACCAUUGACUCUAU
This is a non-coding RNA of Triticum aestivum (bread wheat), 131 nucleotides long. NCBI's taxonomy places the organism in Eukaryota, Viridiplantae, Streptophyta, Magnoliopsida, Poales, Poaceae. The record is from Rfam.